UCUGGAAUCUUUAAUUCGCAG
This 21-nucleotide microRNA is filed under the name Drosophila melanogaster (fruit fly). Its description in RNAcentral is "dme-miR-1005-3p". RNAcentral also lists the same sequence under 1 other name. The record is from miRBase by way of RNAcentral. Lineage: Eukaryota; Metazoa; Arthropoda; Insecta; Diptera; Drosophilidae.